This 738-nucleotide long non-coding RNA is filed under the name Homo sapiens (human). RNAcentral describes it as "HSALNT0356506". The record is from RNAcentral. Lineage: Eukaryota; Metazoa; Chordata; Mammalia; Primates; Hominidae.
GGUGUACACUUAAAGCGUUCUGGGAAUAUGAAUCCCUUCUGCACCCUGGAAUCACCAGUCCAGCCAUGCAUGGAGCUGGGGAAAGCAGGCCCUGAAUUGUCUAGAGAGACUUGGUGGAGGAGGCCACGGCCCGCCUUGUCCCUGCCGGGUCCCGGCCAGGAAUUGGAUGCCGGCUGGCCCCCCUGAUGGUUCCUGGCCUAGGGGCUGUCAUGGCAGAGGGAAGCCACCAAGGUGCCAUUGAGGAUUGGUGUCUGGCUCUCUAUGGGCAAGAGCGCCAGGGGACACACAGUGGGACCGGAACCUUCCAGAAUGUCUCCUCAGUCAGGGCCCUGUGCUAAUCACGAGUCUUUCCUGUUCGGAGCAGUGAGGCCUGAGACCCUCAACAGUGCUGUGUGUACAGAAGGCCCCCAGAAUCCACACAAAGGGGCCGCCUGAAACCUAGAGCAUUUGUGAAGGAGGAAAAUGGAAGGAACAACUGGAUGUUGUAAAUGUUUCUCAUCUGGCCUUAAAAUCCAUGAAAGCUGGAAAAUCACAAGGCAUCUGUGCAUAUACUGGUGGAUUUUAAUGAGAGUCCUGUGUUUGGAGCACCAGAAAUAAACCAGCUUCAGAAGCAAAGAUCUGAACGUCUAUGACACUCUUUCGAGCUGACACAGUGAAGAACAUAGAAGGAGAACUCACCCAGUCUGCCAGGGUCACAGAAUGAUCAUACUCAAGAUCUUCCUGGGGAGUCAAUGGCAA